UACAUACAUACAUAGUUAAUUGAACAAUUCUUGGUUUGUUAUGAUCAUGCACAGAAUGUGGAAAAUUCUGAGGUGACGGAGGUUACUGAUCAGUUGCCCAAGCUGGAAUAAGGAAAUAUGUUUGGGUGCUAAUGCGAAAAGCUCAAUUUCGUUUGAAUUCAAAACAAAUGGUAAUUGACUCUUCUAUUUUCAUCAUGGCUUAACUAAUGCUUUAUAAAGUGACCAUAGAGACGCCCUUUUCAUUGUAGGUUGAGUUGCUCUACUGAAUUUUCGAGGCUGCAACUUUAGGUAAAAUGUGAAAGGUUAUUUCAGUUUUUGUAAAACUACUAUUUGAACUGUUCCAUUUCACAUUAUACCCUCAAAAUUGAACUUCAAGUGCAUCAUGCAUGGCAUUGGGCUACAAAAAUGUAAACUUUUACUAGUAAGGUUGACCCAUGUUUUAAGGAUUUGCCAACUUUUGAUGGUUACCAUAUCAAUGUCAGCUUAAAGCUAUCAAG
This 497-nucleotide long non-coding RNA is filed under the name Gossypium raimondii (Peruvian cotton). Its description in RNAcentral is "long non-coding RNA (GRAI_LNC009662)". The record is from RNAcentral. Lineage: Eukaryota; Viridiplantae; Streptophyta; Magnoliopsida; Malvales; Malvaceae.